Molecule: long non-coding RNA, 857 nt
Filed under: Equus asinus (donkey)
Lineage: Eukaryota; Metazoa; Chordata; Mammalia; Perissodactyla; Equidae
Description: lncRNA (ENSEASG00005033266.1)
Source: RNAcentral
CUCAGGAGAGGGGCACUGCUUACUGGGGCUGCUGUCUCUGCAGCUGAGGUGCAGUGACAAUGAAGCUGGCUCUGCAAAUGCUGAAAAAGCUGCCAGCUGGGUUCAGCUGCUGCUGUGGGAAGGAACUGCUGCUGCCAAAGUGUGGGGAGCAGAUAGGGAAAAGCAAGUCUCUUCCUCCUUUUCCAGCCUGACAGUCUCAAGCUCCCUCUCUCACUCCCGCUCCCCCUACUGGCAGAGAUGUGGUUUGCAGAGUCCCAAGCCCUGGCAUCAUCAGCCAGAAUACAGGAGGACUGGUUUGGAGCUGGGGACAAUAACUUAUGGUCUGACACAAGGUCACAGAAAAAUAAGGAUCCUCAGAACAUGUGAAGGUGGCUUUUUUUUUAACCAUCCUUUUGUAACAGAGCAAGUUAUUGACACAUUAAUUUGUGUCUCAUCUGAUUUUUAUGCUGUGGACUCGUAAGAAAGAUAAUUGCUAAGACAACCUUCUCCUUGCUUCUAUUAUGUCUACCCAGGCUCUGCAUUCUGAGUUCCAGUCUCUAGGCCCUAAAGAGAGGUAUCCUUAUAAAAGACAGAAAAGGAGAAGACAUACAGAGAGACCCACAGAGCAGAAGGCCAUAUGAAAUUGGAGGCAGAGAUUGGAGUGAUGCAUCUUUAAGCCAAGGAAUGCCAAGGAUUACCUGCAACCACCAGAAACUAGGAGAGAGGAACCAACCCAGGCAACACGUUGAUUUCAGACUUCUGGCCUCCAGAACUGUGAGAGAAUAAAUUCCUGUUAUUCUAAGCCACCAAGUUUGUGAUAAUUUGUUAUGGCAGCCCUAGGAAACUAAUGCAGCCUGUGUCAGUGAGGUGCUUGGCUU